Molecule: ribosomal RNA, 578 nt
Filed under: Blastobotrys chiropterorum
Lineage: Eukaryota; Fungi; Ascomycota; Dipodascomycetes; Dipodascales; Trichomonascaceae
Description: eukaryotic LSU rRNA
Rfam family: Eukaryotic large subunit ribosomal RNA
Source: RNAcentral
AAACCAACAGGGAUUGCCUCAGUAACGGCGAGCGAAGCGGCAAAAGCUCAAAUUUGAAAUCUGGCGUCUUUCUUAGGCGUCCGAGUUGUAAUUUGAAGAUGGCAACUUUGGGAUUGGCUCUCGCAUAUGUUCCUUGGAACAGGACGUCAUAGAGGGUGAGAACCCCGUACAUGGCGAGGUGACCCAAUCCUAUGUAAAGUGCUUUCUAAGAGUCGAGUUGUUUGGGAAUGCAGCUCUAAGUGGGUGGUAAAUUCCAUCUAAGGCUAAAUAUUGGCGAGAGACCGAUAGCGAACAAGUACAGUGAUGGAAAGAUGAAAAGAACUUUGAAAAGAGAGUGAAAAAGUACGUGAAAUUGUUGAAAGGGAAGGGCUUGAAAUCAGACUUGGUAUUCAGUGAUCAACUGUCUUUCGGGACUGUGCACUCGCUGUUUACUGGGCCAACAUCGGUUUAGAGGGUGAGAUAAAAGCUAGAGAAUGUGGCACUGCUUCGGUAGUGUGUUAUAGCUCUGGUCAAUAUCACCAUUCUGGACCGAGGACUGCGCUUUAUGCUAGGAUGUUGGCGUAAUGAUUUUAAGCCAC